GUAUUAAUAUUUUAAAUAAAAAUAUUGAUCUUGUAAAUCAAUGAUGAGAGAUGUUUCUCUUAAUUCA
Molecule: transfer RNA, 67 nt
Filed under: Osborniella crotophagae
Lineage: Eukaryota; Metazoa; Arthropoda; Insecta; Psocodea; Menoponidae
Description: tRNA-Thr
Source: RNAcentral